This 253-nucleotide ribosomal RNA is filed under the name uncultured bacterium. RNAcentral's name for it is "partial 16S ribosomal RNA". It matches the Rfam family "Bacterial small subunit ribosomal RNA", at positions 524 to 776 of the family's 1533-position model. The record is from RNAcentral.
UACGAAGGUGGCAAGCGUUGUUCGGAUUUACUGGGCGUAAAGGGCGCGUAGGUGGUGCGGUAAGCCCUCCGGGAAAGCUUCAGGCUUAACCUGAAAAGGUCGGGGGGGACUGCCGCGCUAGAGGACGGGAGAGGAGCGCGGAAUUCCGCGUGUAGUGGUGAAAUGCGUAGAGAUGCGGAGGAAUACCAGUGGCGAAGGCGGCCUCCUGGGUCUCAACUGACGCUGAAGCGCGAAAGCAUGGGGAGCGAACGGG